RNAcentral lists this ribosomal RNA (467 nucleotides) under uncultured Glomus. RNAcentral describes it as "SSU rRNA". It matches the Rfam family "Eukaryotic small subunit ribosomal RNA", at positions 569 to 1038 of the family's 1831-position model. The record is from RNAcentral. Lineage: Eukaryota; Fungi; Glomeromycota; Glomeromycetes; Glomerales; Glomeraceae.
AGCAGCCGCGGUAAUUCCAGCUCCAAUAGCGUAUAUUAAAGUUGUUGCAGUUAAAAAGCUCGUAGUUGAAUUUCGGGAUCAAUACGUCGGUCGUGCCUACGGUAUGUACUGUUGUCAUUGAUUUCUCCCUUCUGACGAACCAUGAUGUCAUUAACUUGGUGUCAUGGGGGGUUAGGACUGUUACCUUAGAAAAAAUUAGAGUGUUUAAAGCAGGCUCACGCUUGGAUACAUUAGCAUGGAAUAAUAAAAUAGGACGUUUGAACCUUAUUUUGUUGGUUUCUAGGAUCAACGUAAUGAUUAAUAGGGAUAGUUGGGGGCAUUAGUAUUCAAUUGUCAGAGGUGAAAUUCUUGGAUUUAUUGAAGACUAACUACUGCGAAAGCAUUUGCCAAGGAUGUUUUCAUUAAUCAAGAACGAAAGUUAGGGGAUCGAAGACGAUCAGAUACCGUCGUAGUCUUAACCAUAAACU